AUUUUAGAACACUCGAGCUUUCUCCGUCAGUUGCCAAAUCUUGCAUAAAAAUACGUUUUUUGGAGCUAUACUUGAUGUGAGCAUGACGCUCAGCGAGGUGCUGCAAGACGUCGCCCAAGGACUGGGAGGACUGGCUUCGUGGACGUUCGAGAAGUUCUGGGAAGCAUGGCACUUCUUCUGGAUUUGGCUGGGUUUUCAAAAGCCAGCGCUGGCCGGGCCCGACCGGCGCGAGCUGCUGGAGUGGGUGCGGCUGCACCUGCCGACCGCGCCGCCAGCCAACUUCGGC
Long non-coding RNA from Pollicipes pollicipes, 286 nucleotides. RefSeq lists it as uncharacterized. NCBI's taxonomy places the organism in Eukaryota, Metazoa, Arthropoda, Thecostraca, Pollicipedomorpha, Pollicipedidae. The record is from RefSeq and is a predicted model, not a curated record. The transcript is spliced from 3 exons.